This 425-nucleotide ribosomal RNA is filed under the name uncultured bacterium. RNAcentral's name for it is "partial 16S ribosomal RNA". It matches the Rfam family "Bacterial small subunit ribosomal RNA", at positions 354 to 796 of the family's 1533-position model. The record is from RNAcentral.
GUUAGGAAUAUUGGACAAUGGGCGCAAGCCUGAUCCAGCCAUGCCGCGUGAGUGAUGAAGGCCUUCGGGUUGUAAAGCUCUUUAGUCCACGAAUAUAAUGACUGUAGUGGAAGAAUAAGACCCGGCUAACUUCGUGCCAGCAGCCGCGGUAAUACGAAGGGGGCGAGCGUUAUUCGGAAUCACUGGGCGUAAAGCGUGCGUAGGCUGUUUUGUAAGUCAGAAGUGAAAGCCCAGGGCUUAACCCUGGAAUUGCUUUUGAAACUACAAGACUCGAAUUCGGGAGAGGAUAGCGGAAUUGUCAGUGUAGCAGUGAAAUGCGUAGAUAUUGACAGGAACACCAGUGGCGCAAGCGGCUAUCUGGACCGAUAUUGACGCUGAGGCACGAAAGCGUGGGGAGCAAACAGGAUUAGAAACCCCGGUAGUCC